GACGAACGCUGGCGGCGUGCUUAACACAUGCAAGUCGAACGGGUCUGCCCUGUUUUUUGCGGGGUGGGUCAGUGGCGAACGGGUGAGUAACACGUGAGUAACCUGCCCCUCACUUCUGGAUAACCGCUUGAAAGGGUGGCUAAUACGGGGUGUUCUGGCUGUGCCGCAUGGUGUGGCUGGGAAAGAUUCACUUUUGUGGUGUUUUGGUGGGGGAUGGGCUCGCGGCCUAUCAGCUUGUUGGUGGGGUGAUGGCCUGCCAAGGCUUUGAGGGGUAGCCGGCCUGAGAGGGUGGGCGGUCACACUGGGACUGAGAUACGGCCCAGACUCCUGCGGGAGGCAGCAGUGGGGGGUAUUGCACAAUGGGCGGAAGCCUGAUGCAGCGACGUCGCGUGAGGGAUGGAGGCCUUCGGGUUGUGAACCUCUUUCGCCGGUGAAGAAGGUCCUGCUCUUUGUGGUGGGGUUGACGGUAGCCGGGUUAUGAAGCGCCGGCUAACUACGUG
RNAcentral lists this ribosomal RNA (500 nucleotides) under uncultured bacterium. RNAcentral describes it as "partial 16S ribosomal RNA". It matches the Rfam family "Bacterial small subunit ribosomal RNA", at positions 28 to 507 of the family's 1533-position model. The record is from RNAcentral.